Molecule: long non-coding RNA, 225 nt
Filed under: Capsicum annuum
Lineage: Eukaryota; Viridiplantae; Streptophyta; Magnoliopsida; Solanales; Solanaceae
Description: long non-coding RNA (CANN_LNC013936)
Source: RNAcentral
CCCCAUAUCUGCUUCCCUGUCACAAAAACUCAUCGUCAAAUUUGCUUACUUACUAGUUUGGAAAUGGACGUUGUCGAUCCAAUAUUCAUGAGCCUAGAAGAAUUAGAGGAAAGAGUUGAAGCUCUACCAGAUCGUGAAGAAAUUGAAGAAAAAUUAUCAGAUCUAUCCGAUCGAAUUCACGUAUUAGACUGUUUUAUUCAUUGUUUACUUAUGCGUUUGGUCAUU